Molecule: ribosomal RNA, 373 nt
Filed under: uncultured organism
Description: partial 16S ribosomal RNA
Rfam family: Bacterial small subunit ribosomal RNA
Source: RNAcentral
GUAGGGCGCGAGCGUUGUCCGGAAUUAUUGGGCGUAAAGAGCUUGUAGGCGGUUUGUUGCGUCUGCUGUGAAAGACCGGGGGCUUAACCCCGGUAUUGCAGUGGGUACGGGCAGACUAGAGUGCAGUAGGGGAGACUGGAAUUCCUGGUGUAGCGGUGAAAUGCGCAGAUAUCAGGAGGAACACCGAUGGCGAAGGCAGGUCUCUGGGCUGUAACUGACGCUGAGAAGCGAAAGCAUGGGGAGCGAACAGGAUUAGAUACCCUGGUAGUCCAUGCCGUAAACGUUGGGCACUAGGUGUGGGGGACAUUCCACGUUUUCCGCGCCGUAGCUAACGCAUUAAGUGCCCCGCCUGGGGAGUACGGCCGCAAGGCUA